Oryctolagus cuniculus (rabbit) is the source of this 163-nucleotide small nuclear RNA. Its record names the gene U2. It matches the Rfam family "U2 spliceosomal RNA". Rfam says of the family: U2 is a small nuclear RNA (snRNA) component of the spliceosome (involved in pre-mRNA splicing). Complementary binding between U2 snRNA (in an area lying towards the 5' end but 3' to hairpin I) and the branchpoint sequence (BPS) of the intron results the bulging out of an unpaired adenosine, on the BPS, which initiates a nucleophilic attack at the intronic 5' splice site, thus starting the first of two transesterification reactions that mediate splicing. Lineage: Eukaryota; Metazoa; Chordata; Mammalia; Lagomorpha; Leporidae. The record is from Ensembl.
ACCGCUUCUCGGCCUUUUGGCUAAGAUCAAGUGUAGUAUCUGUUCUUAUCAGUAAUAUAGUUAGUUAAUUUAUGCCAGUUUUUUUUUUCCAAAAUGAUUUUACAAGCUUACAAAUCAAUAUACAAAACAAAAUUGAACCACAUGUGUAAAUGAAGGAAGUAAC